UCCAAAGUACCAGCAAUUGAAAAUCUAGAUAAACUUUUACAUGUCUCAGAUGCAGUUUUGUGGAAAGUCGUAAGAAACACCAUCUAGCUUUUCCAUCUUUUCCAGUUUGCAAUGCUCACACGUGAUACCAAACAAGAGAGCCCUAAUUGUCUUCCUUACAUAGACACUAGGGGGACUGGAAUGGUUUUGGACUUUGUAGUGAGAUGGGGGUGAACUCAUGCUCGUUCUACAAGGCAUAUGUUGAUUCUGGCGAGAAGGUGAGUUGAAAUUACAUGUCCUGAUGGUCCGGAAAUUGUGUUCCUCCUCACCAACCAAACAUUGAUAAAUAUUGUCAAUUCACUUACCAAGCACAAAAUAUCUGAGGAAAUCAUUUGUUUCCCUUCAUGCCAACACAUCACGAGGGGGGGAAGGGAUGAAAAGGAGCAACAUUAAAAUGUACAAGUUACCUUCGCUCUAGAAGGCAAAGAUAAAGCCUAUACAAAACACAAUCUUAUACGUUUUUAUGUCCAUCACAAUGCAGCAUAUUUAUGUACAAGCUAAAGCACAAAGUUUAAUAUACUAAUAAAACUAAUUGAAUCAAUUAACUUAGAGAACCAAACAAGACCGACACAACCCUUCGAACGAGAUGCCUGCAAUUCGAAAAAAGGUUUUAGAGAAAAUAUCUCCACAAGAGCAUCUGCAUCAAAAAGAUAAAAUAUUUACAGCAACCACAGCAAACUGGUAACUUUUGCUGAUCAUAGAAAUGCAAAUUUCUUGCCUUAAAGGGAUCAUACUACAAAUCCAUUACAGCAUUACAAAGAUCUUCGCCUUCACCAAAAGAUUCAUAAUGAUAGUUAUCAAACAACUAAAACUAGAAGUUUAAGACAUUCGAAAUUUGGAGAGUUGCCAAGUCGAAGUACUGAAAUUUCAGAACUUUUGAGUAACAGCAAUUUCAAAUGUCUUGACAACUAGAAAAAUUCCCAAACCAACCAACAAAAGAAAAGCCAGGCAUUAAACUGACUGCUGGUUUAUAAGAAAAUGGUAGGAUAACAAAAAUUACAACAUUUUUAAGGGCGGUAUACGGAGAUUAAAAAGAUGGAUGCACUUCAAAAUUUCCUGUUUCAUCUAUAUAUCCUAUAAUUUUCCAAAUAGAAAGAGACAAAAAUAUGAAAAUCCAACAACCACUCACCAUUAGAUCUCUGUUGCAGAUCAAACUCAUCCGCAGUGGCGGAUCCAGGAUUUUAAAGUCGUGGGUGCUCACUGAUAAAAAAUUGAAAGAAGAGGAAAAAAGAGUUUAGUUAUGGGUGCUCAAUCAAUAUUUACCUAAAUAUAUUUAUAAUUACCUAUACAAAUUUACUAAAUCUUGUCAAAGAUAAUGGGUGCUUGAGCACCCAAAAUUAGCAUGUAGAUUUGCCCCUGCUCAUCCGUGCAUGCUAGUUGACCCAGUAUUCUUCAACCUUCAACAUUCAUGUCAAGAAAAAAAGCAUUAGCAGAAUUCAAGCAAAGUAAAACGUCCACGGGAGGAAAAAAAAGAAGGAUGAAAUUUCACUCGCAACUAAUUUAAGUUUCUCGUUUUUACACAUAAUCAUACAACUAUAAUAUUAUACUUUUGGGACUUCCCGAAAGUUAAAACAUCAUCAUAGUAUUUGACAAAUGCAUCUACUUAGUGAACUUUCAUCAAAUUGGUUAAAAAGAUUCAUUUUAUUAGAUCUAGUACUAACCUAUGUUGCUCGGACUCUCCGAAAAUUAUGCCCGGUGCGUGUCGGAUCCUCCAAAAAUAGUGUAUUUUUGAAGGAUCCGACACGGGGUGCGGCAUCAUUUUGUAGAGUCCGCGCAACAUAGGUACUAACCCCUUGUUUGGAUGGUUGUUACAUGUUGUAUUGCAAGUUCGUUCUUCAUAUUGUUGGGGCAUAUCAUCGUGAAAUGAUGGAAAAUAAUAAAAAUCUAUUCAAAUAUUGUACACAUCAAAAUGAUACGAUACGAUGCAAUAUAAUAUAAUAUAAUAAAAUACAAUACACGGACACAAGCCUACAACAGAUAAUUAUUAAUCCCUUAAGGAUAUAACAAAGAGGUUACAAACAGCUAAUGUUUUCUUUUUGCGAGCAUAUGAUUUUAGAAACUUCAAAUACUUAAAAUAUUCCCUUCGUCCCAUAUUUCGGGACCCUUUUGACAAUUCACAAGGACCAAGAAGUGGAACACAUUCUUAGCUUUUUCAAUGUUACACUUCUUUCGAUCUGGUACAUGCAAGCGAGGAGUUCUUCCAACAAGGUGAGUUAUGGCGUAUGCAACCAGGCAUGAGUUUGAUGCCUUUCAAGUAACAUAUCAUGUGCUUGAACGUGUCCAUGUAUAAUACAGAUAACAGAAAUAAUCUUGGAUAGAGAAACACACUCCACACUGUUUGUAGAGACUGUAUUUUCCAACUACCCCUUCUAGGAAUGGCAGGCGGUGCGGGUACGGGGCAGCACAAUUUCAACCCGCCCGCCCCGCAUAUGAUUUAAACUCGCGUGCACCCGCCUGCCCAGCAAAAUGUUUUUUUAAAAAAAAUCUCUUUUUUUUUGAUUUUUUUUUACAGUAGUUGUAUUAUAUAAAGACGCCACAAACAUCUACACAACAUCUGAAAUUUGCCACUUAAAUUUUGCAUUAAGAUACACUCAGUAUAAUUUGGUACUGUUUAUUAGUUCAAUCGUAGACUAUAAAAUAGAACCGCUUACAACUUGAUUUCAAGAAUAUAUUACAGCUUCAAUACAAAUAGGAUAAAUAAUUAUUGGGAUUGGAAUUGAGAAUUUUACCAUUUAGCUCCAAGAAUUUCUCAGACUUGCGUGCCAUUGCAGAGAGAAACUGAACAACUACACUUGUGAUUGUGUUUGUGUUUUUAUCGGUCCAAAAAGUAAAAUCCCCAACCAGCGACCCGCCCCGCAUAAUUUUUUUUAAAAAACUGAACCAGCCCCGCC
RNAcentral lists this long non-coding RNA (2930 nucleotides) under Nicotiana tabacum (common tobacco). RNAcentral's name for it is "long non-coding RNA (NTAB_LNC013282)". Lineage: Eukaryota; Viridiplantae; Streptophyta; Magnoliopsida; Solanales; Solanaceae. The record is from RNAcentral.